GACGAACGCUGGCGGCGUGCUUAACACAUGCAAGUCGAACGGAAAGGCCCUGCUUUUGUGGGGUGCUCGAGUGGCGAACGGGUGAGUAACACGUGAGUAACCUGCCCUUGACUUUGGGAUAACUUCAGGAAACUGGGGCUAAUACCGGAUAGGAGCUCCUGCUGCAUGGGGGGGGUUGGAAAGUUUCGGCGGUUGGGGAUGGACUCGCGGCUUAUCAGCUUGUUGGUGGGGUAGUGGCUUACCAAGGGUUUGACGGGUAGCCGGCCUGGGAGGGUGACCGGCGACAUUGGGCCUGAGAGACGGACCAGACUCCUAUGGGAGGCAGCAGUGGGGAAUAUUGCACAAUGGGGGGAAGCCUGAUGCAGCAACGCCGCGUGCGGGAUGCCGGCCUUCGGGUUGUAAACCGCUUUCGCCUGUGACGAAGCGUGAGUGACGGUAAUGGGUAAAGAAGCACCGGCUAACUACGUG
Molecule: ribosomal RNA, 468 nt
Filed under: uncultured bacterium
Lineage: Bacteria
Description: partial 16S ribosomal RNA
Rfam family: Bacterial small subunit ribosomal RNA
Source: RNAcentral